RNAcentral lists this ribosomal RNA (512 nucleotides) under uncultured bacterium. RNAcentral describes it as "partial 16S ribosomal RNA". It matches the Rfam family "Bacterial small subunit ribosomal RNA", at positions 28 to 523 of the family's 1533-position model. The record is from RNAcentral.
GACGAACGCUGGCGGCGUGCCUAAUACAUGCAAGUCGAGCGGAUGGAUGGGAGCUUGCUCCCUGAAGUCAGCGGCGGACGGGUGAGUAACACGUGGGCAACCUGCCCCUAAGAUCGGGAUAACUUCGGGAAACCGGAGCUAAUACCGGAUAUGAUUAUGUCUCACAUGAGACAUAAUGGAAAGACGGUUUCGGCUGUCACUUAGGGAUGGGCCCGCGGCGCAUUAGCUAGUUGGUGAGGUAACGGCUCACCAAGGCGACGAUGCGUAGCCGACCGGAGAGGGUGAUCGGUCACACUGGGACUGAGACACGGACCAGACUCCUACGGGAGGCAGCAGUAGGGAAUCUUCCGCAAUGGACGAAAGUCUGACGGAGCAACGCCGCGUGAGUGAAGAAGGUUUUCGGAUCGUAAAACUCUGUUGUUAGGGAAGAACAAGUACCAUAGUAACUGAUGGUACCUUGACGGUACCUAACCAGAAAGCCACGGCUAACUACGUGCCAGCCGCCGCCGUAA